Molecule: non-coding RNA, 103 nt
Organism: Triticum aestivum (bread wheat)
Lineage: Eukaryota; Viridiplantae; Streptophyta; Magnoliopsida; Poales; Poaceae
Source: Rfam
UUUCUACUCCCUCCAUCCCAAAAUUCUUGUCUUAGAUUUGUCUAAAUACGAUCCGUAUCUAGACAAAUCUAAGACAAGAGUUUUGGGAUGGAGGGAGCAGAAU